GUGGGCCAUAGCCUUGGAGGAUGACUGCUCACAUGUAUGGGGGGGGGGGGGUGUAGAGAUAAAGGACGUUUCCAAAGGGAUUGACCCACCAGCAACAUCAGAGUGCCUGUUGAUGCACAUACGUGCUGAGCUCUCUUGCACACCUUUUUUAUUUUUUGAAAUUUAUUUAUUUAUUUAUUUUACUUAAAUUCGAUUAAUGAACAUAUGGCGUAUUCUUGGUUUCAGAGGUAGAGUUUAGGGAGUCGUCAGUCGCAUAGAACACCCAGGGCCGCCUCCUUCAUGCCCAUCACCCAGUGACCCGGCGGCCCUCCCAUGCAGCGACCCUCAGCUGGUUUGUCUCCAUCUCUGAUUUCAUCCUGUUUUAUUUUCCCCUCCCUUCGCCUGUGCUCCUCUGUUUUGUUCUUAAAUUGCACACGUGAGUGAGACCGUAUGAUAAUGGUCUUUGUCUGACGGGCUUCCUCCCCUCAGCAUCACGCCCUCCAGGGCCGUCCUCGGGGAAGCCCGCGGCGGGUGCCGUCCUUCCUGGCGGCUGAGUGAUGCCCGCUGUAUCCAUAGACACCUCCUCUUCAUCCAUCGUCUGUCGGGGGCACCGAGGCGCCUCCCACCGUGUGGCUGCUGUGGACACCGGGGCGCAGGUGCCCCUUCGCAUCAAUCCCACACGUGCAUCCUGGGGGCAAAUACCCCGUAGUCGUCACACCUUUCUCUCAGAGCUCUGCCGGCGUGAACACGGACAAAGGACACCCAAUGUCAUGUGCAUAACAGGCUGUUAAAACAAGAUUGUACCUGACUCAGCUUUGUGGUGACCCCCACAUUCCCGAGUGAGCCGUUGGGCCUUCUGGGCAGGAUGGAUUGAUGAUUGAUUGAUUGAUUUUUGAUUUUAUUUAUUUUAGAGAGAGAGCACGAGCAGGGGGCGAAGCAGGGGGGAAGAGCCUCAAGCAGGCUCUGCGAGGUGAGCGUGGACUCGAUCUCAGGACCCUGAGCCGAAACCAAGAGUCGGAGCUUAACUGACUGGGCCACUCAGGUGCCCCCCGGGCAGGAUUCAUAAAGGAGGCGGUAGGAACUGGCUGAGGACCCCAUGCAGGGUGUGGAUUUAGGGUCCUCUUACAUCCUGCUCACCAGGGCCCCACCGAGAAGCGGGAGCCAGGAGCUGGAGGAGCCGCAGAGAUGGGGGUGUCCAGGGCCUGAGGGAAGACUUGGGGCCCCAGGACGUAUUUUUGGUUGGGGCAGAGGAGGACAUACUUCAGCCCCUACCAGGUGCCAUGCGGGUCAGCCCUGGCAGGGGUCAGAGGCAGGGGCCGGGGAGGCCAGGGAAGAGCCAGGAGCUGCUGGAAGCACCAAGUGGGGCCGUGCAGCCCCUCUGCCGCCCUUCGCCCUUGGCUUCCACUGAGGCACCGCGGCCCCAGCAGGCCGGAGCCCGGAGACCAGCACCUUCACCUGCAGGUGGAUCCACGGUGGCGACUCUUAACACAGUAUCGGGCGCUUCGGGAGAACCUUAAGUGGGACCUACUAUUACCUCCGCUGAAGGGAUGAGGAAAUGGAGGCUCAGGGAAGCCAAGUGAUGGCCCACGGCCAGCCAGCUGGUAAGUAGCCGUGCCAGGGCCUGAACCCAGGUCUAGAUGGCUCCACGGCCCAUCCUUUUAAUUAAUGUCGACCGGCACUGUAUUCGAUCUCAUUGCUUUCGUCCCAGUGUUUGUCUUUUCAAAGUGUCGCCGGUUCUUGAAAGCCCAGCCGUCACUACCUCUCAGUGGUGACGCCUUCGCUGGUCUGCCCAGCGCCACGGUGCAGUCUCUUUUUUUCAACUUUUUAAUUUUUUUAACUCGGCUCCAUGCUGGGCUUGAACUCAUGACCCCGAGACCAAGACCCAAGCUGAGAUCAAGAGUCGGACGCUUAACGGACUGAGCCACCCAGGAGCCCCUCGUUUCUCAACUUUAGCAGGUGUUGCUUGGACCUGUUUUGCAAUCUCAGCACUUGCUGCUCUGUUUUGUUGUUACUGUGCUCCGUGAGCUCCUGGGUGGGGGGAACUUUGCACCCCCCUCCCCCAGCACCCAGCACGGGGCCGUUUUCAUUAUUUGCACAGGAAAGUGUAUGUGGACUGAACGAGCAAGCUCUGGACAAGACAGAAGAAAUGGAAGACUUGCCAGAUGGCUCCUUUCGCUGAGCUUCCCCUCCUUACGGAAAGGAGUAUGGGAAAACGCUCGACCGCUGCUGAGCACCGUGUGACCCGACAGCUUCUCCGGGGAUCCCUGGUGUCUACUUGGAAGAGCGGCAGGGAUGCCUGUGCAGGUUCAUUCCUGAAAAUCCUCCAAGGUGUGUGAAGGUGACUUCUAGUGGCACAGUCUCUGGGGUGUCUCACUUGGGGUGAGCAUGCGGGGAGGGCCGCGGUGACAGAUAACCUCCUGGUCUCUAUGAGCAGCCACUUCACCGAAGCUUACGCUCUACCUCACGCUCUCCGGUGAGGAUCCGCCAGGUGAAGUUGGCCUCUAGGCAAUGAAUUCACUUACUGUGACCCGGGUCUUUAAGGUGGUUUGACUUCAGGCAAGCAAUGGACCCGAGGUUCCCAGAAAUUGUAAAUUUUUUUUUAAACUAGGCUCCAAGCCCAGCAGGGAGCCCAGUGCAGGGCUGGAACUCCCCACCCUGAGAGCAAGACCCGAGCCGCCAUCGAGUCCGACGCUAAACCGACCGGAGCCACCCCGCCCAGAGAUUAUUUUAUUUGAUUUCUCUCUCCUUAUCUGGGGACAAAGCCGUUUCAAACACCCAGGGCUCUCAGGCAUUAUCUUUUAAAGUAAAUAAUUAGAAAAUGUGGGAUCAAUGAACUCUAUUAAAUAUUAAGUGUUGAAAAAAUAAAAAAUAAAAUAAAAAUUAUUAUUA
This is a long non-coding RNA of Canis lupus familiaris (dog), 2868 nucleotides long. RefSeq lists it as uncharacterized. The record is from RefSeq and is a predicted model, not a curated record. The transcript is spliced from 4 exons. Lineage: Eukaryota; Metazoa; Chordata; Mammalia; Carnivora; Canidae.